UACGGGGGGAGCAAGCGUUGUUCGGAUUUACUGGGCGUAAAGGGCGCGUAGGCGGCCAGCACAAGUCAGUUGUGAAAUCUCCGAGCUUAACUCGGAAAGGUCAACUGAUACUGUGCGGCUAGAGUGCGGAAGGGGCAACUGGAAUUCCUGGUGUAGCGGUGAAAUGCGCAGAUAUCAGGAGGAACACCGGUGGCGAAGGCGGGUCUCUGGGCCGUAACUGACGCUGAGGAGCGAAAGCGUGGGGAGCGAACAGG
RNAcentral lists this ribosomal RNA (254 nucleotides) under uncultured bacterium. RNAcentral describes it as "partial 16S ribosomal RNA". It matches the Rfam family "Bacterial small subunit ribosomal RNA", at positions 524 to 776 of the family's 1533-position model. The record is from RNAcentral.